GGAGCAGUGGCCGAGCGGUUGAAGGCGACUGUCUUGAAAAUAGUUAGGGUUCAUAGCCCUCGUGGGUUCGAAUCCCACCUGCUCCUCCA
This 89-nucleotide transfer RNA is filed under the name Herpetosiphon sp. RNAcentral's name for it is "tRNA-Ser". It matches the Rfam family "tRNA". From Rfam's summary of the family: Transfer RNA (tRNA) molecules are approximately 80 nucleotides in length. Their secondary structure includes four short double-helical elements and three loops (D, anti-codon, and T loops). The record is from RNAcentral. Lineage: Bacteria; Bacillati; Chloroflexota; Chloroflexia; Herpetosiphonales; Herpetosiphonaceae.